Molecule: ribosomal RNA, 253 nt
Filed under: uncultured bacterium
Lineage: Bacteria
Description: partial 16S ribosomal RNA
Rfam family: Bacterial small subunit ribosomal RNA
Source: RNAcentral
UACGUAGGGUGCGAGCGUUAAUCGGAAUUACUGGGCGUAAAGUGUGCGCAGGCGGCCGCGCAAGUCGAGUGUGAAAGCCCCGAGCUUAACUUGGGAAUUGCGCUCGAAACUACGUGGCCGGAGUGUGGCAGAGGAAGGUGGAAUUCCACGUGUAGCGGUGAAAUGCGUAGAGAUGUGGAGGAACACCGAUGGCGAAGGCAGCCUUCUGGGCCAACACUGACGCUCAUGCACGAAAGCGUGGGGAGCAAACAGG